Molecule: ribosomal RNA, 898 nt
Filed under: Fusarium poae
Lineage: Eukaryota; Fungi; Ascomycota; Sordariomycetes; Hypocreales; Nectriaceae
Description: LSU rRNA
Rfam family: Eukaryotic large subunit ribosomal RNA
Source: RNAcentral
CAUAUCAAUAAGCGGAGGAAAAGAAACCAACAGGGAUUGCCCUAGUAACGGCGAGUGAAGCGGCAACAGCUCAAAUUUGAAAUCUGGCUCUCGGGCCCGAGUUGUAAUUUGUAGAGGAUGACUUUGAUGCGGUGCCUUCCGAGUUCCCUGGAACGGGACGCCAUAGAGGGUGAGAGCCCCGUCUGGUUGGAUGCCAAAUCUCUGUAAGUCUCCUUCGACGAGUCGAGUAGUUUGGGAAUGCUGCUCUAAAUGGGAGGUAUAUGUCUUCUAAAGCUAAAUACCGGCCAGAGACCGAUAGCGCACAAGUAGAGUGAUCGAAAGAUGAAAAGCACUUUGAAAAGAGAGUUAAAAAGUACGUGAAAUUGUUGAAAGGGAAGCGUUUAUGACCAGACUUGGGCUUGGUUAAUCAUCUGGGGUUCUCCCCAGUGCACUUUUCCAGUCCAGGCCAGCAUCAGUUUUCGCCGGGGGAUAAAGACUUCGGGAAUGUGGCUCCCCUCGGGGAGUGUUAUAGCCCGUUGUGUAAUACCCUGGCGGGGACUGAGGUUCGCGCUUCUGCAAGGAUGCUGGCGUAAUGGUCAUCAACGACCCGUCUUGAAACACGGACCAAGGAGUCGUCUUCGUAUGCGAGUGUUCGGGUGUCAAACCCCUACGCGUAAUGAAAGUGAACGCAGGUGAGAGCUUCGGCGCAUCAUCGACCGAUCCUGAUGUUCUCGGAUGGAUUUGAGUAAGAGCAUACGGGGCCGGACCCGAAAGAAGGUGAACUAUGCCUGUGUAGGGUGAAGCCAGAGGAAACUCUGGUGGAGGCUCGCAGCGGUUCUGACGUGCAAAUCGAUCGUCAAACAUGGGCAUGGGGGCGAAAGACUAAUCGAACCUUCUAGUAGCUGGUUUCCGCCGAAGU